This 916-nucleotide ribosomal RNA is filed under the name Ganoderma lucidum. RNAcentral's name for it is "partial large subunit ribosomal RNA". It matches the Rfam family "Eukaryotic large subunit ribosomal RNA", at positions 37 to 940 of the family's 3401-position model. The record is from RNAcentral. Lineage: Eukaryota; Fungi; Basidiomycota; Agaricomycetes; Polyporales; Polyporaceae.
AGCAUAUCAAUAAGCGGAGGAAAAGAAACUAACAAGGAUUCCCCUAGUAACUGCGAGUGAAGCGGGAAAAGCUCAAAUUUAAAAUCUGGCGGUCUUCGGCCGUCCGAGUUGUAGUCUGGAGAAGUGCUUUCCGCGCUGGACCGUGUAUAAGUCUCUUGGAACAGAGCGUCAUAGAGGGUGAGAAUCCCGUCUUUGACACGGACUACCAGUGCUUUGUGAUGCGCUCUCAAAGAGUCGAGUUGUUUGGGAAUGCAGCUCAAAAUGGGUGGUGAAUUCCAUCUAAAGCUAAAUAUUGGCGAGAGACCGAUAGCGAACAAGUACCGUGAGGGAAAGAUGAAAAGCACUUUGGAAAGAGAGUUAAACAGUACGUGAAAUUGCUGAAAGGGAAACGCUUGAAGUCAGUCGCGUCGUCCGGAACUCAGCCUUGCUUUCGCUUGGUGCACUUUCCGGAUGACGGGUCAGCAUCGAUUUUGACCGUCGGAAAAGGGCUGGAGUAAUGUGGCACCUCCGGGUGUGUUAUAGACUCUAGUCGCAUACGGCGGUUGGGAUCGAGGAACGCAGCGCGCCGCAAGGCAGGGGUUCGCCCACUUUCGCGCUUAGGAUGCUGGCAUAAUGGCUUUAAACGACCCGUCUUGAAACACGGACCAAGGAGUCUAACAUACCUGCGAGUGUUUGGGUGGAAAACCCGAGCGCGUAAUGAAAGUGAAAGUUGAGACCUCUGUCGUGGAGGGCAUCGACGCCCGGACCUGACGUUCUCUGAAGGAUCCGCGGUAGAGCAUGUAUGUUGGGACCCGAAAGAUGGUGAACUAUGCCUGAAUAGGGUGAAGCCAGAGGAAACUCUGGUGGAGGCUCGUAGCGAUUCUGACGUGCAAAUCGAUCGUCAAAUUUGGGUAUAGGGGCGAAAGACUAAUCGAAC